GAGAGUUAAACAGUACCGUGAAAUUUGUUGAAAAGGGAAGCGCUUGCAGCCAGACUUGCCUGCGGGGUGAUCAGCCGGUAUUUCUUACCGGUGCACUUGCCCGUGGUCAGGCCAGCAUCGGUUUGGGCGGUUGGAUAAAGUCCCCCGGAACGUAGCUCCUCUCGGGGAGUGUUAUAGCCGGGGGUGCAAUGCAACCUGCCUGGACCGAGGACCGCGCUUCGGCUAGGAUGCUGGCGUAAUGGUUGUAAGCGACCCGUCUUGAAACACGGACCAAGGAGUCUAACAUCUAUGCGAGUGUUUGGGUGUCAAACCCAUGCGCGUAAUGAAAGUGAACGGAGGUGGGAACCCUCAAGGGUGCACCAUCGACCGAUCCUGAUGUCUUCGGAUGGAUUUGAGUAAGAGCAUGGCUGUUGGGACCCGAAAGAUGGUGAACUAUGCCUGAAUAGGGUGAAGCCAGAGGAAACUCUGGUGGAGGCUCGCAGCGGUUCUGACGUGCAAAUCGAUCGUCAAAUUUGGGUAUAGGGGCGAAAGACUAAUCGAACCAUCUGUUACUAGAUGGCAUACGGGCCGGCAGCGCCCGAGUAGUCCCCGCACAGCGGGGGCGACAUCGUCGGUCUUCCGGGGCGCCUCUGGGCCACCCGCAGUGAGCUCUCGGGCUCAUUUGGCGGUGGCCGUGCAUGGGAGCGUGGUUAGGAUAUAGCC
This 702-nucleotide ribosomal RNA is filed under the name Acarospora sp. Its description in RNAcentral is "partial large subunit ribosomal RNA". It matches the Rfam family "Eukaryotic large subunit ribosomal RNA", at positions 383 to 1443 of the family's 3401-position model. Lineage: Eukaryota; Fungi; Ascomycota; Lecanoromycetes; Acarosporales; Acarosporaceae. The record is from RNAcentral.